UUAAAGAAAGCGUAAUAGCUCACUGGUCGAGUCGGCCUGCGCGGAAGAUGUAACGGGGCUAAACCAUGCACCGAAGCUGCGGCAGCGACACUAUGUGUUGUUGGGUAGGGGAGCGUUCUGUAAGCCUGCGAAGGUGUGCUGUGAGGCAUGCUGGAGGUAUCAGAAGUGCGAAUGCUGACAUAAGUAACGAUAAAGCGGGUGAAAAGCCCGCUCGCCGGAAGACCAAGGGUUCCUGUCCAACGUUAAUCGGGGCAGGGUGAGUCGACCCCUAAGGCGAGGCCGAA
This 284-nucleotide ribosomal RNA is filed under the name Klebsiella pneumoniae. Its description in RNAcentral is "partial 23S ribosomal RNA". It matches the Rfam family "Bacterial large subunit ribosomal RNA", at positions 1123 to 1406 of the family's 2925-position model. The record is from RNAcentral. Lineage: Bacteria; Pseudomonadati; Pseudomonadota; Gammaproteobacteria; Enterobacterales; Enterobacteriaceae.